GUCCACGGCCAUGCCACCCCUGAACGUGCCCGAUCUCGUCUGAUCUCGGAAGCUAAGCAGGGUCGGGCCUGGUUAGUACUUGGUUAGGAGACCACCUAGGAAGACCAGGUGCUACAGGCA
Molecule: ribosomal RNA, 120 nt
Filed under: Pteropus alecto (black flying fox)
Lineage: Eukaryota; Metazoa; Chordata; Mammalia; Chiroptera; Pteropodidae
Also listed under: 1 other name
Source: RNAcentral